This 801-nucleotide ribosomal RNA is filed under the name uncultured crenarchaeote. Its description in RNAcentral is "bacterial SSU rRNA". It matches the Rfam family "Archaeal small subunit ribosomal RNA", at positions 48 to 859 of the family's 1478-position model. The record is from RNAcentral. Lineage: Archaea; Thermoproteati; Thermoproteota.
GCCAUGCGAGUCACGCCGCAGGCGUGGCAUACGGCUCAGUAACACGUAGUCAACAUGCCCAAAGGACGUGGAUAACCUCGGGAAACUGAGGAUAAACCGCGAUAGGCCAAGGUUUCUGGAAUGAGCCAUGGCCGAAACCUAUAUGGCCUUUGGAUUGGACUGCGGCCGAUCAGGCUGUUGGUGAGGUAAUGGCCCACCAAACCUGUAACCGGUACGGGCUUUGAGAGAAGUAGCCCGGAGAUGGGCACUGAGACAAGGGCCCAGGCCCUAUGGGGCGCAGCAGGCGCGAAACCUCUGCAGUAGGCGAAAGCUUGACAGGGUUACUCUGAGUGAUGCCCGCUAAGGGUAUCUUUUGGCACCUCUAAAAAUGGUGCAGAAUAAGGGGUGGGCAAGUCUGGUGUCAGCCGCCGCGGUAAUACCAGCACCCCGAGUUGUCGGGACGAUUAUUGGGCCUAAAGCAUCCGUAGCCUGUUCUACAAGUCCUCCGCUAAAUCCACCUGCUUAACGGAUGGGCUGCGGGGGAUACUGCAGAGCUAGGAGGCGGGAGAGGCAAACGGUACUCAGUGGGUAGGGGUAAAAUCCUUUGAUCUACUGAAGACCACCAGUGGCGAAGGCGGUUUGCCAGAACGCGCUCGACGGUGAGGGAUGAAAGCUGGGGGAGCAAACCGGAUUAGAUACCCGGGUAGUCCCAGCUGUAAACGAUGCAGACUCGGUGAUGGGUUGGCCUCGAGCCAACCCAGUGCCGCAGGGAAGCCGUUAAGUCUGCCGCCUGGGGAGUACGGUCGCAAGACUGAAACUUAA